Molecule: long non-coding RNA, 295 nt
Organism: Corticium candelabrum
Lineage: Eukaryota; Metazoa; Porifera; Homoscleromorpha; Homosclerophorida; Plakinidae
Exons: 3
Source: RefSeq, a predicted model, not a curated record
AGAGGAAUGCAGAGACGGACAACCUAACUGUCCAAUCUUUGCAAAGUUGGGGUACUGUGGCAAAAGCAACACAUACUACAAGAGUGUGAUGCAGUCGUGCAGACUAUCCUGUGAUCUGUGCGAGUGCAGAAAGCAAUGUGCUAAUGGAGGCCAUCACAACUGGGAGUGCGAUUGCACCUGCAACAAUUCGUGGGCAGGAGAUCAAUGUCAAGACUGUCGACUCCAAUGUCAGAAUGGAGGCACUCCUGACAAAGACUGCUUAAAAUGCAGAUGCCCCACGGGAUUUGCGGGAAAG